GACGAACGCUGGCGGCGUGCUUAACACAUGCAAGUCGAACGGAAAGGCCCUGCUUUUGUGGGGUGCUCGAGUGGCGAACGGGUGAGUAACACGUGAGUAACCUGCCCUUGACUUUGGGAUAACUUCAGGAAACUGGGGCUAAUACCGGAUAGGAGCUCCUGCUGCAUGGUGGGGGUUGGAAAGUUUCGGCGGUUGGGGAUGGACUCGCGGCUUAUCAGCUUGUUGGUGGGGUAGUGGCUUACCAAGGCUUUGACGGGUAGCCGGCCUGAGAGGGUGACCGGCCACAUUGGGACUGAGAUACGGCCCAGACUCCUACGGGAGGCAGCAGUGGGGAAUAUUGCACAAUGGGCGGAAGCCUGAUGCAGCAACGCCGCGUGCGGGAUGACGGCCUUCGGGUUGUAAACCGCUUUCGCCUGUGACGAAGCGUGAGUGACGGUAAUGGGUAGAGAAGCACGGGCUAACUACGUG
RNAcentral lists this ribosomal RNA (468 nucleotides) under uncultured bacterium. Its description in RNAcentral is "partial 16S ribosomal RNA". It matches the Rfam family "Bacterial small subunit ribosomal RNA", at positions 28 to 507 of the family's 1533-position model. The record is from RNAcentral.